RNAcentral lists this long non-coding RNA (2742 nucleotides) under Homo sapiens (human). RNAcentral describes it as "HSALNT0256097". Lineage: Eukaryota; Metazoa; Chordata; Mammalia; Primates; Hominidae. The record is from RNAcentral.
CAGGUCUGGGAGUCAGCAGGUUUUGUAGCAGGUUCAGAUUUGCCAUCAGCACUACCAUGCCCUGUGAUCAAAGUCAAUGGAAAAAGAACCCAAUUCAGGCAGGACUACCAAUGUAUUCGCCUACAAGAUACAUGUACAAAAUAACAUCUCCCUCCACCUUCAAACGAAACCCAAAAGCCCUCGUGGGAAGACGCACAGCACGCGGGAUUCUCACCACCAGAUGCCUAGCAUCUGAGAUCAAUGAAUGCUAAGGACAGGAAUCACACUCAUGUCAGGAGGCACCAACAAGUCUUGAUGCAGCCUUUAGUAAAACCUGGGGACGAGAACUUUCAUUUUGUGAGUUUCCUUUUUCAUGUGGAUUGCAUUGUCUCUACUGCCUUCUUUGCUUUCUCUCUACAUCCUUGUGAAGCGAAGUUCCUUUGGAAAAAUUCCAGCUGGCCGGGCAUGGUGGUUCAUGCCUGUAAUCCCAGAACUUUGGGAGACCAAGGCGGGUGGAUCAUUUGAGGUCAGGAGUUUGAGACCACCCUGGCCAACAUGGUGACACCUGUCUCAAUAAAAAUACAAAAUUUAGCAGGCGUGGAAUCCCAGCUACUCGGGAGGGUGAGAUAUGAGGAUCGCUUGAAUCUGGGAGGCUGAGGCUGCCAUGAGCCAGAUCACGCCACUGCACUGCAGCCUGGGAAACAGAGGGAGACACUGUUCAAGGCCUAUCUUUUAUUAUUAUUAUUAUUUUUGAGAUGGAGUCUUGCUCUGUCACCCAGGCUGGAGUGCAGUGGCAACCUCUGCCUCCCGGGUUCAAGCCAUCCUCCCACCUCAGUCUCACAAGUAGCUAGGACUAUAUGUGACACCACCACGCCCCACUAAUUUUUUUUUUAUUUGUACCGACAAGGUCUCACUAUGUUACCCAGGCUGGUAUCAAACUCCUGGACUCAAAUGAUCCAGCCUGCGUUGGCCUCCCUAAGUACUGGGAUUGCAGGCAUGAGCCAGCACACCCUCCCUUGCUUUAGUUCUUAAAAGAGACUCUCGCACAUUGGCUUCAGGCUCAGCUGGAUCCAGGUCCUUGAACAGGUUCAGGAAUCUGGAACCUGUCUCUUUCAUUUAUAUAUUUAUUUGAGACAGGGUCUCACACUGUCGCCCGGGCUGGAGUGCAGUGGCACGAUCAUGGCUCACUGCAACCUCAGUCUCCUGGGCUCAAGUGAUCCUCCUACUUCAGCCUCCCAAGUAGCUAAGACCACAGGUGUGUGCCACCAUGCCUGGCUUAAUUUUUUAUUCACUUAUUUAUUUAUUUAUUUAUUUGUUCUGAGACAGAGUCUCGCUCUGUUGUUGCCCAGGCUGGAAUGCAGUGGCACGAUCUUGGCUCACUGCAGCCUCCACCUCCCAGGUUCAAGCGAUUGUCCUGACUCAGGCUCCCAAGUAGCUGGGACUACAGGCAUGUGCCACCAUGCCCAGCUAAAUUUUUUGUAUUUUUAGUAGAGGCGGCAUUUCGCCGUGUUGAUUAGGCUGGUCUCGAACUCCUGAACUCCAAUGAUCCACCCACCUCAGUCUCCCAAAGUGCUGAGAUUACAAGCAUGAGCCACUGUGCCUGGCCAAUUUUUUUUAUUUUUUGUAGAGACACAGUCUCACUAUGUUGCCCAGGCUGGUCUCGAACUCCUGGCCUCAGGAGAUCCUGCCACCGCUUCCCAAAGUGCUGGGAUUACAGGCAUAAAACACUCCGCCCAGUCCCUGGUCUCCUUUGUGUCGGCUUCAUCAACUGUCAGUUCCGUUCUCCAGGGUUAGCAAUUCUAACAGAAGUCCCGGGAUGAUGUCUCAUUGGCUCAUCUUGAGAUAUGUGGUUAUGACUGAACUACAAGCAGAGGGAUGAGAUUGGCCACUCUGGGUCAUGUGCCCCAUUUUCUUUCUUUUUUUUUUUUUUUUUGAGACGAAGUCUUCCUCUGUCGCCCAGGCUGGUGUACAAUGACGUGAUCUCGGCUCACUGCAACCUCCACCUCCUGGGUUCCAGAGAUUCUCCUGCCUCAGCCUCCUGAGUAGCUGGGAUUACAGGUACAUGCCACCAUGCCCCGCUAGUUUUUUGUUUUUUGGUUUUUUUUUUUUGAGACAGAGUCUCACUCUGUCGCCCAGGUUGAAGUACAGUGGUGCAACCUUCACCUCCCCGGUUCAAGCGAUUCUCCCACCUCAGCCUUCUAAGUAGCUUGGACUACAGGCACCCACCACCACACCUAGCUAAUUUUUGUAUUUUUAGUAGAGACAGGGUUUCACCAUGUUGGCCAGGAUGGUCUCGAUCUAUUGACAUCAUGAUCCGCCUGCCUCAGCCUGAAGUGCUAGGAUUACAGGCUUGAGCCACCACACCCAGCCCACGCCCAGCUAAUUUUUGUAUUUUUAGCAGAGACAGGGUUUCACCACAUUGCCCAGGUUGGUCUCGAACUCCCGACCUCAGGUGCUCUGCCCACCUCAGCCUCCCAAAGUGCUGGGAUUACAGGCGUGAGCCACCACGCCUGGCCCUACAUGCCCCAUUCUAAAGCUGGCCCCUUUCCAAGCACAUGGAUGCAAAUGGGAUAAUGGCUCCCCCAGGGAAAAUCAGAAGAAAGAGGCAUGGAUGCUGCACCCGCAAAUGCAGCUGAUACCCAGUCCACCUACACUAAGCAAGUUAUUAAGGCUUACUAAAACAUAGUGUUCGUACAUUCAGAAUAGAAAGUUACUGUAAUUUAUUGAGCACUCUAUUUUGGUAUUCCACCUAGAAGCCUGGCA